This 150-nucleotide ribosomal RNA is filed under the name uncultured fungus. Its description in RNAcentral is "5.8S ribosomal RNA". It matches the Rfam family "5.8S ribosomal RNA". Rfam says of the family: 5.8S ribosomal RNA (5.8S rRNA) is a component of the large subunit of the eukaryotic ribosome. It is transcribed by RNA polymerase I as part of the 45S precursor that also contains 18S and 28S rRNA. Lineage: Eukaryota; Fungi. The record is from RNAcentral.
CAACUUUUGACAACGGAUCUCUUGGCUCUCGCAACGAUGAAGAACGCAGCGAAAUGCGAUAAGUAAUGUGAAUUGCAGAAUUCCGUGAAUCAUUAAAUCUUUGAACGCACAUUGCGCUUCCUUGGAAGCAUGUCUGUUUGAGAAUCAGUU